AACGAACGCUGGCGGCAUGCCUAACACAUGCAAGUCGAACGAGACCUUCGGGUCUAGUGGCGCACGGGUGCGUAACGCGUGGGAACCUGCCCUUAGGUUCGGAAUACCUCCCCGAAAGGGGUGCUAAUACCGGAUAAUGUCUUCGGACCAAAGAUUUAUCGCCUUUGGAUGGGCCCGCGUUGGAUUCGCUAGUUGGUAGGGUAAAAGCCUACCAAGGCGACGAUCCAUAGCUGGUCUGGGAGGAUGAUCAGCCACACUGGGACUGAGACACGGCCCAGACUCCUACGGGAGGGAGGAGUGGGGAAUAUUGGACAAUGGGCGAAAGCCUGAUCCAGCAAUGCCGCGUGAGUUAUGAAGGCCUUAGGGUUGUAAAGCUCUUUUACCCGGGAUGAUAAUGACAGUACCGGGAGAAUAAGCUCCGGCUAACUCCGUG
Molecule: ribosomal RNA, 433 nt
Filed under: uncultured bacterium
Lineage: Bacteria
Description: partial 16S ribosomal RNA
Rfam family: Bacterial small subunit ribosomal RNA
Source: RNAcentral